Molecule: non-coding RNA, 333 nt
Organism: Camelina sativa (false flax)
Lineage: Eukaryota; Viridiplantae; Streptophyta; Magnoliopsida; Brassicales; Brassicaceae
Source: RefSeq, a predicted model, not a curated record
AGAUAUGGGAAUAUUUUCACGCAGUUCUAUUAGUAGGAAAUCAAAUGACGGGAUGAAGAUCAUUGCAACAGCAUUUUUCGGAGUAACUUUUGGCUUUUUGAUUGGAAUAUCAUUUCCAUCAUUAUCAAUCACCAAGGUGAGUCUCCCAACAAACUUUCUUCCUUCAAACGAUCUGUCAUAUGUAGAGGAAAAGGGUUCGACAAUUGCAACUCCAGAAAGUCAUAAAGCUUGGUCAUCAUCAAAGGAUAAUGAUAGCAGCUCAUCCAGUCCAAUCGACAAAUCGAAGGCACGCUUCUACUCCUUAAUAAAUUUAUCGAAUGUUUUUGGAACUUU